GUCGAUUUCACUAUCAAAAUUCAAGAAAAGUUCUACAUGCAAUUGUGAUCAUAUAAAAAUGGAAAAGAAAUCAGAAGUCAGAAAUGUAAAAUAUAUUGUGAACCCUCAUGAGAAUCAACGACAUAAGUCAUAAACAAAGAAGAAACAACAAUCACCUUGUUUAUAAUAAUAUGGAGUCGAAUAAAUACAUAGCGGAAUGAUUAAAAAAGAAAAAAAAAUAGAUACAAUAUCUGUGUCAGUUUGUCUACCUCGUGGUCCACCAAGAGGCCGAUGGACCAUUAUCCUCGAGUUUGGAAGGCUAUACCUUUUUCCUUCAGUAAUUAUCAGAGAGAGAAUUGUAUAGAAACUUCAGCUAGUAAAAUAACCACCAAUAGAAUGUUAAACAUCUUAAGGUAAAAUGCCUUAGCAUGCAUGUCUUUGAGCAUGCUGGAUACAAUAGUAAGAUGAUGAAACACCAAAUAUGCACAUCAGAAGAACUAAAGAAACAACAAUCUUUGCCAAUUACUAUGAAAAUAUGUUGGUAUUAUAAUAUUAGAGAUGAACUGACUACUAAUAAAGCUUCAAUUUUUAUUUCUUUUCUGUUUUCAGCAAAGAAAGAGGUUUCAAAUAUCUCAUAACAAAUCUUAAAGAAAGAAAACAGUUGAUUGCCUAACAGAGGUUCAUUUUAUACUUGGUUACUCUCUCUACCACAAAGGAAAGUUAGCAAUACAAUAUUAGUAGAAACUACACCAAAUUGUAAUUAAAUAGCAGUAAUAUAUCAUAACCAGGCCACUAAUCCAACACAUACAGUAGAAAGUCUGGUCUACUAUGCCUCAUUGUGUCAAUAAUGACCAUACCUACCACAAUAAUGGAAAGCAAAUAAGACAAAUAAAUGGUCAAAAGCUAUAAAGAUGGAGUGGAAAAGGAAAAAAGAAAUGUUACAAGCUGUAACUGAUCUCUCUUUUCCACAGCUUCAAAAUCUUAAAUGCUGAGAAGGGUCACCAACAUAUACUGCUUUAUAUAAAUUAUUUUAACACAUAAUCCCCAAUAUUUAACACUUAAAUUGGUUUUCAUACUAAAAAUCCAAGAAAAUCAAAAGACUACCAAAACCUGCAUUGUAUUUCCAGACUAUUGAAAUGUGGUACCAGUUUCUGCAUAUUGGAAAGCAUCACCGAAAUCACUGACAAAAAAUAGCACUUUCUAGGAAGAAUUUUAAAAGUACCUUGCUCGAAAAUAACCUAAAAUUUCUUGAAUAACUGAGAAAUUAAACCUUAAAUCCUUAAUCAACUGAUUGAUAUCAUAUAACUACAACAAUUUUAAAGAUUCAAUCUAUAAUUUACAAUGACUUCAACAUGAAUCUUCCAAUAUACAGUUGUCCUUGCAUUAAUAUUCUUGAAUAACUUAAAUACAUCUUAAUAACCUUUAAUUCUUUCUAAACUUUGAAAAUAAACCAAUUUUUCAUGAACCCUAAAAUCAAAUUGAAGCAAAUCUGUUGCUUUACCCCUAAAAGGAAGAAAUUGAACACCCUACAUCAUUAAUGUUGCCAUCCUUUUCUUUCUCCUCAUUUUUUUCUCCCUUCUUUCUUUUCAUCUCCUCAUUUCUUCUCUUUCUCUUGAUUCUUCCCUGCUUGUUUCUUUUCAUUCUCCAAAUGAAAAUAAUGGGUCCAAUGAGAGUUAAGUGGAUAACUGUCACAAAUUUGCAAAAGAAGUCCCUUACCUUAUGGGCUGGGUGAAUUUUAAUUAGGUCGUGGGCUACUAUUCACAGCAUUUAACGACCGUUACAAAAAGUGAAUUUUUUUUGAACGCUUUCGCAAUAGUUAAUGAAUAUUGCAAAAAAUGAAACUUUUCCCAACAUUCAAUAAACGUUAUAAAAAUGACGUUGCAAAAAGUUCACUUUGCAUUAGUUAAUAAACAUUGCAAAAGGCCAUAUAUUACGAGUUUCAACAAUGUGCACUGAACGUUGGUGUAAAGCCAGAUUUUAACAGCAUUCAAUAAACAUUGAAAAAAAUGAAACUUUUCGCAGCAUUCAAUGAAUGUUACAAAAAAGUUAACUUUUUGUUAAAGCCAAUAAACAUUUCAACAGGCUAUAUAUUAAGAGUUUCAGCAACAUGCACCAAAUGUUGAUGUAAAGUUCAAAUUUUAACAGCGUUCAAUAAACAUUGCAAAAAAUAAAACUUUUCACAACAUUCAAUAAAUGUUGCAAAAAAGUUCACUUUUUGCAACAAUUAGUAAACGUUGCAAAAUGCUAUAUAUUAGAACUUUUAGCAACAUUCACUGAACGUUGUUGUAAAGCCAGAUUUUAACAAUAUUCAAUAAACACUACAAAAAAUGAAACUUUUCAUAACAUUCAAUAAACGUUGCAAAAUAUGACAUUAGUAACAUACAUUUAAAAAAUGUUGCCAAAACUCAAUUAUGUUAACCAAUGGCAACAUUCACUUAUUAAAAUUAUACAAUAGACUCUCUUUAACAACACUCAAUUAACAAAUGUUGCCUCUUUCGUGUUCCCAAAAAUGAUUUUUGUUGUUGUGAUUCUCAUAGUCUAUCCACUAGAACAUUACUUCAUUCGUGUUUCGAUUGAAAAUUGGAAUAUUUUCCACCUUACACCAUAAUGAGCUUGUAUUUUUUUAUUAUUUAUUCCUAAAGUUACAUAUUUGACAUGUCGACUUUGUUUCAGUAUGUUUACAUCAACGAUGGUGCAGAUAUCGUUGCAUUAGCUAGAGACUAUAUCAAGUUUCUGUUUGGAGGACAGAAGAGCUAACAUCUAAGGCAUGCCAUCUAUUAGUGAAAGAUGUUCUUCAAGAUGCUGACAUAGAAGAAAGAUGAAGAUGAUCGAUAUUGGCUUUAACGCAAAAUAUUUAGUACCUCCACAUGGUAUGAUAGCCCUGUUAAGUCUAUAAACUGUGAUACCGGAGAGCAUGUACCUUAUUCAUCCUUGAGAAAGGGUAUAUAAAGCAUAAGGUUUAAGACUCUUAAUGAAAACCUUGCACAAAGCUUGCUUCUCAAAAGAUUUGGUUUCGUAGUGUUUUCAUGUCUUCAUUUAUGCCUUUACCUUGUGAAAUACAUUUAUGAUAAAAGUUCAUUAAGGAAUGGCAAGAAGGAAUUUGCAAUAGAUUUACUCUGGAUGAUUGUACAGGCUUGAGCAUAAGGAUAUCACUUUUUCUUCUUCUUUUGAUUUCAUGUUUAGCGAUUGAAUGCCACCAUCAGGGGUUCGUGGUCUACUAUGUACGUGUGAGGUGUGGUGGAAGGAAGAGGCCAAAUCCCAAGAGUAUUUUGUAUAGUUAGAAGAAUUAUUAAGUUAUCGAGUACCUGAGUUAACGGGAUCCAUGGACAAAAACUAUAACCUUUCGUCAUGUAAAGUUGUGAAAAUAAUUGGAACCUAUUUAUUCUUGUUUUUAUUUUUGUUUUUGUUUUGGUUCGUGAAAGGAGCUACUUUGUUUGCUAACUCCAAUUGGAUUUUCAAGGUUUGUGCUUUUUGAAGCUAAAUUAAUUAGGGUGUUGAGUUUAUUGCACAAGUUUUGAAGGGAAUUGCGAUUUGGAAUUUACAUUUAGAGUCCGAAGUUUAAAUUUUGGUUCGGCUUAAUUAGAAUAUUAAUGAAGAUGAAUCAAAGAGAAGCUGUCAAAACCAGCAACGCUCCGGAUCCCAAUUAAUUACUUUUAACUCUCCCGCUUUAUAUGUUGAUGCAUUUUUUUCUACUUGUCUAAAUGGUGUCUUUAGUCUCGAUGAUAGCUGGUUUUGCCUCCGCAAGUUUGGAGUCAACUGAAGAUACAAUCGUCCUGAAAAAGUACUAAGAUAUUUUUGUAUUUUUUUUAGUAUUUUUGCAUUUUUUAGGAAGGGCGGUUAACAUUACGAUAUAGAGAACUAUUAUACACGUUCAAGGGCAUUUAAUAUUAAUACUUCCUGCUAAAGCUUGCUUUCGGAAGGUUUUAUUGUUUCCUUUUGCGUUUCUCAGUUUUUGAAAUUUGAAUUUAUUCUGCAAUUAAGGGUAAAAUGUAUAUUGCUAAUUUGUUCCUCAUAAUCUUUCAUUUGUCAAUAUACCCUUUUUACAAUGUUGUCUGCCUCGAAACAUUUAGCAACAUAUGCUUAAAUUUGAUAUAACUAAUGCUCAACACAUAAUAUUUUCUUAUACAUACAUUAUUACAUAACUCAACUAUAUCGUGUAACAGGCCUUGCACGUGUGUCUUACUUGGUUGAGCCAAUUGUAUAUGGGUAAGGGUUAGUUAAUGAUGAGUUCAGAUAGUGGAUUUGGCUUUAGGAAAAAAUUCAUAUCUAAGAGUUUAACUUUGACCGAUUUCAAAACUAAUAAAAAAUGUUUAAAAUUUAAUAUUAUUAAAUUUUGUUUAUGAAAUAAUUGAAUAAAAAAUAUUUUAUUAAUUAAACAUAUUAAGGUCACAAAUCUAUAUAAUUUCAUCACAAAUUAUCAAAUUAAUUGGUUACAAAUUAUUUCUCGAGCACAAAUUAAAAAUUCUAUAGGACAUUAUUCAUCGGUCACAAAAUCAAAACUUUUAUUGACCACAAUUCAUUUAUCAAUUACAUAUUAUCAAAUUAAUUGCCAAAUUAAUUUUGUUGUCACAACUUAAUAAUUGUGAGUCACAAUUACAUUUUUUAGGUCACAAAUUACCCAAUUUAUUGGUCACAAUCAACCAAAUAAUUGGUCACAAAUAGCUCAUAUCCCGUCCCAUCUACCCAUGACCACCGUCGCCUCACCAGACUGUGCAAAAUCACCACCACAACAACCACUACAUCACAUCAAUGCAAACCUACCACCACCAUAGUAACCACACACCAAACUCCUACACUAUCAUCAUUGCUAGAUCGCAACAUAACCAAACUCCUACAAAUCAACCACAAAACCAUCACAAACCCAUCGUGACAACCAGAGUGUACACCACUGUGCGCAACACUCUGAGUUCGUUGCUGCUCGGGACGAGAUCUGAAUGUCGUACACGACGGGAUCUGAUCGUCAUUGUAUGCAACGAACUCAAGCUCCGUUUCGCAACAACGCCUAAGGCAAUACACUCGCCACUCACAACGGCUGAUCAGUGGCACUGGAUUCGCCUCCUCGUCGGUACCUACUGGUGAAAGGAGUGAAAGAAAAAAAAAUGAAAUAGGUCUUCCUACCAAGAGUUCCUUGGGGAUAUGCAAGAACUGGCUAACACUGCAUACGCUAUAUCCGGAUGUGUGUGACGGAUACAUAGGUUCCUACAAGCACUGGUACAUUUCCAUGUCUACUGCAGCAUCUUCCUCUACCUUUCCAAGUCUAACAUUCGAAUCUAAUGGAGUACUUGCUGGUUUGCAAGAUAUCUUCUCCUUAUCAUCAAUCCCGAUCACUAUUGUGUCAUCAACAUAUUCUAAGAAAACUGUGACUCCCUUGAAGGUGAGUGUUUAAUGUACAGCAUAUGAUCCCUUUAGCUUUGUCUAUAUAUAUCUCUGGUGAUUGCUCAAGUCCAUAGAGGCUUUCUUCAACUUACACACAAUAUAACCAGCCAAAUUAUUCCCAUAACCUAAUACGACCUCUAUAUAAAUUUCUUCCUUUAGUUCUCCAUGCAAACAAUGCAAUCUUAAGAUCAAAAUGCUGCAAUUCCCAACCAUAAUUAGUUGUUAAUGACAACAAGAUUCUAACAGCAGUUAUCUUUGCAAUUGGAGCAAAAGUCUCUAGGUAAUCGAUUCCAUAUGAUCAAGUAUAACCUUUAGCCACCAACUUUGCCUCGUAUCUUUCUAUCGAUCCAUCUGCCCUAUACUUCACUACAUAAACCCAUUUUAUAUCCCACUAAUCUCUUUCUUGUUGGCAACUUUACCAAUUCCCAAGUUUUUUUAAGGACCUCUAUCUCUACAUUCAUAGCUUGUUUCUAUUUCUCAUUGGACAAAGCCUUCGAUAAGGUGGUAGGAAUGACAAUGGUGUUUAAGCUAACAAGGAAGGCUCUAUGAGAUGGUAAAGAAUGUUUAAAAGACAAGAAAUGUGCAAGAGGAUAUAAAUGUCGGUUUGUGAGCAAUGGGAAGGUCCUGUCAUUACUGCUCACAUUAGAUUCAGUUUUAGCUUGCAAUGAAGGGUUAGAAAUUGUUGCCGCAUUCUCAAGAUCUGGGUUCGAGUCUUGUACUUGCACAGAUUCAAGGACAACCAUCUUCCUUGAAAACACCUUGCCCUUACCAAAUAUUUACAUUUUCAAAAGUAGAGUCCAUCUUUUCUUGAGGAUUUUCGAGCACAGGUUCAAACAAGGAGACACGGAAUUCAACAUAGUGGAAUGAGGAACUGAUCUGGAAUUCUCCCCCUGAAGAUAAGGAGCUGUGAAAUACGACUCUAAUUCAUUGAAAGUAACACCACCGAGACAUAGAAUUUCUUUAAUGGAGGGUGGUAACACUUACACCCUUUCUGAAUUGACAAAUAACCACAAAGACACAUCUUAACACCCUAGGAUCCAAGUUUCCCCUAUUUUGACUAUGGUCAUGGACAAAUGAUAUACACCCAAAUAUCCUAGGGACAAGAUUAUUUGUAGUGAGGUUAGGAUAGAAUGUCGAUAGUAUUUCCAUUUGCCUCUUGAAUCCCAAGAUUCUGGAAGGUAAACGAUUUAUUAAAUGUGUGGCUGUAAGAACUGCUUCUCCCCAAAAGGAUUUAGGUACAUCUCUCUGGAACAUGAAGGCUCAGGUUGAUUUAAGGUGUCUAUUUUACAUUUUUGCUACUCUAUUUUGCUGUAGAGUACUAACAUAAGAUGACUCGUGUACUAUCCCUUAAUUCUUCUUAAAGUACGGAGAUAGGACUUGAUUGAACCAACCCAAACCUUUUGAUAUUGACCUUAAAUUGAUUCUUAAUCAUGGAACAAAAAUUUGGAUGAACAGUACUAACAUCAGAUUUAUGUUUGAGCCAAAAAAUCCAAGUAACAUGAGAAUUAUGUUUAAUAACCCUAAAUGACACAUGUCCAAGUCAACAAUGGUGAAGCCACUCUCUAUAUUGGAUGAAAAAACUCAAACAAAAGAAUGAGGUAAUUUGCCCUUGAUGAUACUUGAUUGCCUCGGUGAUUCGAGUUAGGAAAGCCCAUCCCAUUCUCUAGCAUGUCCAAUCAUCUUCCCCGAAUCCUUGUCCUGAAAUACACUAACUAUAAUGAAAAACCACAUUGCAAUGUAAAUCAUGAGUGAGUUUUUGUAUAGAGACAAUAUUUGUGGACAGUCUAGAGACAUGGAGAACAUUUUACGGUCAGUGAUGGGCUUAUUUUGAAAUCUCCUGCACCUGCUACCUUGGUCAAAGAACCAUAAGUUGUGACUAUUUUCCUAUUGCUUGGACAUGGGAAAUAUGUGAAAAAAAUAUUUUGUGAGUUGGUCAUAUGUUCAGUAGCUCCUAAGUCCAUGACGCAAGAGUUUGGCAAAGGUUUAACCCAAUAGAGAAAGAAAACUCACCUAAAUACGCAAUGAACAAAUACCUGAAGGUUUGUCAAGGUUGCCAAUAAGAGAUCUCACCUUCUUGACCUCUUUUUGGAGUAUAGUGUGGCAGAAGAAACAGCUUUUUACCUUUUCAAAACAAGUAGUGCGAAACAAGGUGGAGGCAACUCAUUUGUUGGUGAAGGAUUUACAUAUCAAAAAAUUAAGAAGAGACUUGCUACUCACGUUGGAAAGCAUAAAAGUUCACAUAAUCAAGCUCGCAUUAAAUGUGAAGCCUUGAUGAAUCAAGAGCAACACGGUCAAUCAAUUUUCUUCAAGCAGUCCAAACAAAUGCGACAUGAUUAUUAUGUCUAUUUUAUUGCAUCAAUUGACUGUGUUCAAGUUUUGUUGCAACAAGGGCUUUCAUUUCAGGGUAAUGAUGAAUUUAAAAAUUCUCUCAAUUAAGGUAACUUCCUAAUUCAAUUACAAUUCCUAGCUGAUCAUAAUCAUGAGGUUAAGGCUGUGACGUUGGAAAAUGCUCCUCAAAAUUGCAAUCUAAUAUCCCCUAAAGUAUAAAAGAAUAGAGCAAGUGCUUGUGCUGCUGAAACGAUAAAUGUGAUUAUAGAUGUUGGAGAUUCAUUAUUUUCUAUUUUAGUUGAUGAAUCUCGUGACGUGUCAACAAAGGAGCAAAUGUCAAUUGUGUUACGACAUGUGAAAAAUGAAUUUGUAAAUGAAUGUUUCAUAGGUAUUGAACAUGUGUCUAGUACCAUUGUUGUCUCACUCAAGGCCGCUAUUGAUAACAAGUUUUCUAGAUAUAACUUGAGCAUUUCUAAUUUAAGAGGACAAAGUUACGAUGGGGCAAGCAAUAUGCAAUGUCAAUUCAGUGGUCUCAAAGCACUCAUUUUAAAUUAGAACCCUGUGCCUUUUAUGCUCAUAAUUUUGCUCAUCAACCGCAAUUAGUAGCUAUGGCAAAGAAGAAUAUACCGAUUAUUAAAUUCGUUCAUGUGGUUGCUAAUGUGAUAAAUAAUGUUAUAACAUCUUCUAAACGUUGUAAUCUUCUACAAGAGAAACAAUCAGACUUCAUUAUUGAGGCAUUGGAGAAUGAUGAUAUCUUAAGUGGACGGGGCAUUAAUCAAAAAACCACUCUUCAACGUUUAGGUGAUACGCGUUAGUGAUCCCAUUAUAAAUCUUUGGUUAGCUUGAUUAGCAUGUUUAAGGUUGUUAUUGAUGUACUUGAAAUAACUGUUGAAGAUGAAUCUAGUACUUGUGAUAAAAAAAAAAAAAAAGUAAUGCAUUCAAUUUAUUGGAGUCAAUACAAUCGUUUGAUUUUGCAUUUAAUCUACAUUUAAUGAAAAGUGUCUUGAGGAUUUCAAAUGAUUUGUCACAGGAAUUGCAAAGGAAAGAUCAAGACAUUAUCAAUGCAAUGGACAUGGUGAAUGUUUGCAAAAAACAACUCCCAACUUCUGUGAGAUGAUGGGAUUCUUUUUUGCAACAAGUUCCUUUUGUCAGAAUCAUUAUAUUGAUGUGCCAAACAUGGAUGCUAUGUUUAUGGUAUUCGCUCUCAUCGUAAUCCUCCACAAGUAACCAACUUGCAUUACUUUUUGGUAGAUUUAUUUUACGCUAUCAUUGAUAUGCAACUUCAAGAAUUGAAUGAUCAUUUCUCAAAGAUAAAUACUGAGUUGAUCCUUUUGUUUAGCUUGCCUGUGUCCACAAAAUUCAUUCUUUGCUUUUCACAAAAGAAAUUUUUAUCCACAAAAUUUUCCAAUGGUAGUUCUCUUCACAGUGGAAUAUCAACUUGAUAAUUAUAUUUUUAACACUCUUUAAUAAAGAGUUCGAAGAAUUGAAUAGCUUUAGCGCUCUAGCACAUAAAUUAGUUUUGAAAAAUAAGAAUAGAGCAUACCUACUGGUUUGCAAGCUUUUGACUUUCACACUAAUUCUUCCGGGUGCCAUGACUACUGUGGAGAGUAUUUUCUGCCAUGAAUAUUGUGAAUGAUAGAUUAUGAAAUCGGAUUGAAGAUGAGUGGAUGAAUGAUAGCCACAUCGUUUAUGCGGAAAAAGAUAUAUUCUUGAAGAUUAGUAAUAAAGUAAUUUCACAAAGAUAUCAAAGUAUGAAAACUCGUAAAUAACAAUUGUAAGAUAUUUCAUUUUUAGUAUAGUAUUUGUGUAUUGUGUUAUAAUACCGCUAUUUCUUUUGUGCAUUUUCUAAUAUCGCCCGCACUAAAAAGACUUUCUGAGUCCACCCCUGGAAACCUCUUAUGUCACUCUUCUCAAUCCAGAUGAGCAUGGUUUAAUCUUGACAACUCUUGGUAGGAAGAAGUCAAUAGAUGCCAAUGUGGACUUGAUGGCAAUUGGAAGUGACAGUGAUUGUGAAAAUUUCAGUGGAGCUGACCUAUCUGCUCUGGUUUGUCUGUACUUGAUUGUUUUCUUCAUAGGGUAAUAAUAUUUUAGAAACUGAUCUUGGUUACUAUAAAUAUUUAAUUAAAAUAAACAAUUUUUAGUAGAUUGGAAGGUUUAUAAUUGUUUGAUGUAAAUAAUUAGUGUUUGUUAAAUCAUAAAUGACAAAGAUGGCGAAAAAAAUACUUUGUUGCCGUUCAAGAUAUUUUGUGAUGCAUAAAUAAGUUAUCUUAAAGAAAUUUGAUAUGACUUGAACAAAUGUUGUUCGAUUGAGAAAAUGGGAAUUGCAUUCUAUUUCUUCUUUCACUCUUGAUGUAAAUGUCAUCCCUUGUGACGAUCAGUUUCAAGUUUGCUAUUUUUAUUUAUGGUAGAUGAAUAAAACUGCUAUAGAAACUAUUGCAAACAAAAUAAAUUUGGGGAACGAAGCUUUAUAUGCUACACCAUUGACUAUCAAAUAAAUACACUUCGAUCGAGCAUCGGAGAAAAUAUCUCUAUCUGUUUUAGAUGCAAUAUGAAUUUUUAUCAAGCUUGAUUUUGUUAUUGUAAUAUACCUCAAGAAAAGUAAAUGUAACUGUGUCAAUUUUUAUGCUUGGCUGCAGAAGAUAAGAAAAUAUGAACAGUCGUCAGAAAUCUUCACAGCGACUUUAGAAUGGACCUGAUCACGUGAAAAAAGCACUCCUAUGACUUAUAGUUGUUUGUACACUUUUAGUGAAGAAUCAAGCGAUGAAAUUUUUUGAUUCCGAAGAAAAUAAGUCUUAAAAAAUUAUGACUCCUAAAGCUUCAUCAACAAGAAUGUAAAAAUGAAAAAUUAAAUUGAACUUCCUAAAGAUUAUGACUUAUAAAGCUUAAUCGACAAGAAUGUAAAAAUGAAAAAUUAAACUGAAUUUCCUAAAUCAAAAACUUUUAAGACUUAUUUUCUUCAGAACAAAAAAUUUCUUCGCUUGUUUCUUCACUAAAAGUGUACAUAUAACUAUAAAUCCUACGAGUGUUUUUUUCACAUGAUCAGGUUCAUUCUAAAGUCGCUAUGAAGCUUUCUGACAACUAUUGAUAUUUUCUUAUCUUCUGCAGUCAAGAAUAAAAAUUGAGAAGAUAAACUUAUUUUUCUUAAGUUAUAUUACAAUAACAAAAUCAAACCUAAUAAAAAUUCAUACUGCACCUGAAACAGAUGAAAAUAUUUUCUCCAAUGCCCGAUUGAAGUGUAUUUGAUGGUCAAUAGUGCAGCAUAUAAAACUUCGUUCCCCGAAUUUAUUUGUCCACAAUAGCUUCCAUAACAAUUUUAUUCAUCUAGCAAAAAUAAAAGUAGCAAAGCUAGUGACUGAUAAUCACAAGGGAUGAACAUUUACGUGAAGAGAGAAGAAAUAGAAUGCAACUCCCAUUUUCUCACUAGAACAUUCAUUCAAGUCUUCUUUAGGAUGACUUUUUUAUGCUUCACAAAAUAUUAACAAAGCAUUUUUUCGUCAUCUUUGUUAUUUAUGCUUUAACUAACACUAAUUACCCAUAUCAAAUAAUUAUGAACCUUCCAAUCUACUAAAAACUAUUUAUUUUAAUUAAAUAUUAAUAAUAAUCAAGACCAUUUUUACUAAAAUAAUGUUACUCUAUAAAGAAACAAUCAAGUAUAGACAAACUAGAGCAAUAAGUCAACUCCACUGAAAUUUUUACAAGUACUGUCACUUCCAAUUGCAAUCAACUCCACAUUGACAUCUAUUGGCUUCUUCCUACCAAUAGCUAUCAAGAUUAAACCACACUCAUCUAGACUAGGAAGAGGGACAUAUAGAGGCUUCCAGAAACGGACCUAGAAAGCUUUUUCAGUGCGGACAAAAUUAGAAAAUUUACAAAAAAAAAAUAACCGCAUUAUAACCCAGUACACAAACAUUAUACUAAAAAUGAAAUACCUUAAAAUUACUCUUUACGAGUUCUCAUACUUUGAUAUCUUUGUAAAAUCACUUCAUUAUCAAUCCUCAAGAAUACAUAUUUCUCCACAUAAACGAUAAGACUAUCAUUCGUCCACUCAUUUCCAAUCCAAUUACGUAAUCUACUCCGCUUCUCCAAUUCACUACACUUACAUAAUUCUAUUUUAUAGAUUCUCCAAGCCACAAAUGACAAACCCCUCCAAUGAUCCAACAAUACACUAAGAGGGUGUUUGGGAACCAUUUUUAUGUAAAAAUGCAUUUUAAAAUAGUAAAUUGAUAAAAAAUGCAUGCAUUAAAAAUAAAGAAAAAUUUUUGAUUUACAUGUAAUAUUAUUUUAAUGAAGAAUGUGUGAUUGAAAAUAAGAGAGAAAUACAUUUUUAAAAAAAUGGGAACCAAACGAGGCCUAAUAUGUACAAACUUGCUACCUGUGGUAUGAAAAAAUACAAGAUUGAAAAGUUAACUAACA
This 12096-nucleotide long non-coding RNA is filed under the name Olea europaea subsp. europaea. The record is from RNAcentral. Lineage: Eukaryota; Viridiplantae; Streptophyta; Magnoliopsida; Lamiales; Oleaceae.